UACGUAGGUGGCAAGCGUUGUCCGGAUUUACUGGGUGUAAAGGGCGCGUAGGCGGGAUAGCAAGUCAGGGGUGAAAUGUAGGGGCUUAACCCCUGAACUGCUUUUGAAACUGUUAUUCUUGAGUAUCGGAGAGGCAGGCGGAAUUCCUAGUGUAGCGGUGAAAUGCGUAGAUGUUAGGAGGAACACCAGCGGCGAAGGCGGCCUGCUGGACGACAACUGACGCUGAGGCGCGAAAGCGUGGGGAGCAAAC
This 250-nucleotide ribosomal RNA is filed under the name uncultured prokaryote. RNAcentral describes it as "partial 16S ribosomal RNA". It matches the Rfam family "Bacterial small subunit ribosomal RNA", at positions 524 to 773 of the family's 1533-position model. The record is from RNAcentral.